Molecule: ribosomal RNA, 257 nt
Filed under: uncultured Parvimonas sp.
Lineage: Bacteria; Bacillati; Bacillota; Tissierellia; Tissierellales; Peptoniphilaceae
Description: partial 16S ribosomal RNA
Rfam family: Bacterial small subunit ribosomal RNA
Source: RNAcentral
CGAACGGGUGAGUAACACGUGAGCAACCUACCUUACACAGGGGGAUAGCCGUUGGAAACGACGAUUAAUACCGCAUGAGACCACAGAACCGCAUGGUAAAGGGGUCAAAGAUUUAUCGGUGUAAGAUGGGCUCGCGUCUGAUUAGCUAGCUGGAAGGGUAAAGGCCUACCAAGGCGACGAUCAGUAGCCGGUCUGAGAGGGUGAUCGGCCACAUUGGGACUGAGACACGGCCCAGACUCCUACGGGAGGCAGCAGCG